CCAAGUGGAACACUCGUGACAGCUAUGAUGAUGUAUCCAGCUUCCAGGCCAACACAGCUCAUGGCAAGGGCCUCAAGAGGCCUGGCAAGAAAGGAUCAAAUAAGAGACCUGGAAAACGGACAAGAGAGAAAAUGAAGAGUAGAACACGCGAAGCAACAUCUUUGUGUGCAUAGAACCAAGAAAAAGGAAUGAAGAAUUGGGAUUUCACAUUACAAUUGGAUCCCUUAGGUUGGUUUCCUUUUGU
This is a long non-coding RNA of Rhinolophus ferrumequinum (greater horseshoe bat), 244 nucleotides long. RefSeq lists it as uncharacterized. NCBI's taxonomy places the organism in Eukaryota, Metazoa, Chordata, Mammalia, Chiroptera, Rhinolophidae. The transcript is spliced from 2 exons. The record is from RefSeq and is a predicted model, not a curated record.